GUAACAGCCACAGGUCAGAGUCCAGGAGGAAGUGCAUUAGAGAACAAUGAGUACUGAGCAGUCAGGUGAAUGUUUACCAGCCAAGCCCUACUCUACAUGUUCGGUGACACAACCACCACAUUAACCUUAGUCCAAUCUCUUUAGAAUCUCUUUGAACUGUAAUCACUUUAUUAACUGGCAAUGUGACAUCUGAGUCCAAAUGGAACACCUGCAAAAUAUUAAAAUAAUGAUUAAAUUCAUAGUUAUUGUUUUGCACUGUAGAGGUUCCUCAGCUGAUACGACAAGGAAGCUCAGUGUGUUGGUGGGUGCAGACGUGACUCUCAGCUGCCGGUUUGAUAAACUGUCCAAGCUGGUGGAGUUGAGCGCUCUAACCAUUGAGUGGAACAUGGUGGAUAAACAUGCAGAGAAGAGCGUUGUGUACACUUUUGUGGAUGGUAGAGCACAUGGGAGCAGAGAUGGCUCUGUGGUGGAUAGAAUGAAGUUGCUAGAAAGUGAUGCCUCUCUGCAGCUUUGUAACGUGACUGUGAGAGAUGAAGGGCUGUACACCUGCAGAAUCAUCACACCUGUGGUCUACACGGAGACCACUUCACUGGAAGUGCUGGCUCUGCCUUCAGUGUUUCUCCCAGAAAAGGCAGCAGUGACAGAGGGGGAGGAGAAGACCAUACAGUGUGACAUUACAGGUUUCUAUCCAGAGAAACUUGCCGUGACAUGGUACAUUCAAAAUGGCUCCCACGCUGUCCACGCAGGUGCCAGCCACCUUUCCCGUGUCUGCACCGAAAUGGCCAUUCACAAUCCAGAUGGCACCUACAGUAUUCGCAGUGGCCUCACACUGCACUCGUCAGCCGUGAAAGAUGCAGAGAUACACAUAAUCUGCCAGGUGGAGCACCAGACCUACAGCCGGCCGUACAGCAGAUCUGUUACACUGACUGUUCAGGCUCCAUCACAGCCUCUUUACAGUGCUGUCACACUGAUAGCUGUCACCAGUGUCAUCAGUCUGCUGCUGGUCACCUCUGUCAUUGUCAUCGCGUUGAUUCUCUACAGGUAUUUCUGUAAAGCUCCACCAAGUGUUUCUGAAAUCAGCCAACCCAGCAUCAUAUAUGCUCAGGUGCAGACCGACCUCAAAUGCACCAUCCGAGGAGCAAGACAGCAGGAGCUCAAAGUGAAAUGGUUUAAAUUAAGAAGCAUCGCAGACUCAGUGGUCCAGUCAGAAUCUGAUCCCCUGUUGGUCAGUGAGGAUCUGAGUGAACAGGCUUGUCUCCAGUCAGAUGGCACACACCACACAUCUGUCCUGACUGUGUGUCUGACUGUCAAUGAAGACCUGACCGAAUACCACUGUGUGGUGCUGUGCAGGGGCAAGAGCAUCAGCAGAAAGACCACAGUCCAGGUGAAAGUGGAGCCGUCUUUCCUCCAGAUCUCCAGCAUCCCUCAGAUUCCCAAGGUGGAAAGGCUGCUGGUUCUCUGCUGUAGGGUGGAGAACUUCUACCCCCAGGACGUCGACCUGGAGUGGUCCAGGAAUGACGGGGAGCAGGUGUGCACUGUGACACACUUUGGACCUUUUUCCGACCACAACCGCCUCUUCAGCGUGUGGAGUAAGAUUGAGCUGGUCAUGGCCAGAGAGGACGAGAGUGCCGUCUACACCUGCCGUGUUUACCACUCCAGCUUCCCUGCUCCAGGUUACAAAGAUGUCCUGUACCACAUUAACACUCAAGGAACUCCUCCUAAUGUGAUGUUUAUUGACUGUGAACCGCUGUGUCCUCUGUUGAACGAAGAAUGUACACUGCACCUGUGUGUCAAAGACUUCUGUCCUGAGGACGUGUCAGUGACUUGGACUAAAGAUGGAGAAAUGGUUUCCUGCUUCAACACUCCCCCGAGCCUAAACAUCAAUGGCCUCUACUCCAUGUUCAGUUUUCUCAAACUCACCCCUAACAAGGAUGACCAGGGCUCCAGGUUCAGGUGCCAGGUGGUCCACAGCGCCCAGAGGGAGCCUGAGGAGAGGCUCUUCACCCUGUGUGCAAGCCACAACGUGCAUCUGAUAUCUGACGGCUGCUGAUGUCCUCACUAAACUUGUAUUUCAAUCUACAUGGUUUGAUUUGUGAAGGUUUGGAUGCAGAUUAGUACAGAGAGAUGAAACAGAGUUUGGGACUUAAAAA
Non-coding RNA from Sander lucioperca (pikeperch), 2150 nucleotides. NCBI's taxonomy places the organism in Eukaryota, Metazoa, Chordata, Actinopteri, Perciformes, Percidae. The record is from the annotation of a RefSeq genome assembly.